Molecule: ribosomal RNA, 492 nt
Filed under: uncultured bacterium
Lineage: Bacteria
Description: bacterial SSU rRNA
Rfam family: Bacterial small subunit ribosomal RNA
Source: RNAcentral
AAAUGAAUAGACGGGGACCCGCACAAGCGGCGGAGCAUGCGGAUUAAUUCGAUGCAACGCGAAGAACCUUACCAAGGCUUGACAUGCACCGGUACAGUGUAGAGAUAUGCUGGCCUUUUGGGCUGGUGUGCAGGUGGUGCAUGGUUGUCGUCAGCUCGUGUCGUGAGAUGUUGGGUUAAGUCCCGCAACGAGCGCAACCCUUGUCUCGUGUUGCCAGCAUUUGGUUGGGGACUCUCGGGAGACUGCCGGGGUUAACUCGGAGGAAGGUGGGGAUGACGUCAAAUCAUCAUGCCCCUUAUGUCUUGGGCUUCACGCAUGCUACAAUGGAUGGUACAGUGGGUUGCGAUACUGUGAGGUGGAGCUAAUCCUUUAAAGCUGUUCUAAGUUCGGAUCGUAGUCUGCAAUUCGACUACGUGAAGGUGGAGUCGCUAGUAAUCGCAGAUCAGCAUUGCUGCGGUGAAUACGUUCUCGGGUCUUGUACACACCGCCCGU